CCUACGGGUGGCAGCAGUGGGGAAUUUUGCGCAAUGCUCGUAAGAGUGACGCAGCGACGCCGCGUGAAUGACGAAGGCCUUCGGGUCGUAAAGUUCUUUCGACAGGGAAGAAAAUGCCUAUAAGUAACUGUGUAUGUAUUGACGGUACCUGUAUAAGCAGCCCCGGCUAACUCCGUCCCAGCAGCCACGGUAAUACGGAGGGGGGGAGCCUUGUUCGGGGUGACUGGGCGUAAAGAGCACGUAGGCGGUGUUUUAAGUCAUUAGGCAAAGACUAGAGCUCAACUUUAGCAAGUCUAGUGAUACUAUAAUACUAGAGUAUCGGAGAGGAUGGCAGAAUUCCUGGUGUAGCGGUGAAAUGCGUAGAUAUCAGGAGGAAUACCGUUAGCGAAGGCGGCAAUCUGGCUGGAAACUGACGCUCAUGCACGAAAGCGUGGGUAUCGAACAGGAUUAGAUACCCCAGUAGUC
RNAcentral lists this ribosomal RNA (465 nucleotides) under uncultured bacterium. Its description in RNAcentral is "partial 16S ribosomal RNA". It matches the Rfam family "Bacterial small subunit ribosomal RNA", at positions 338 to 795 of the family's 1533-position model. The record is from RNAcentral.